GACGAACGCUGGCGGCGUGCUUAACACAUGCAAGUCGAGCGAUGAAGUUCCUUCGGGAAUGGAUUAGCGGCGGACGGGUGAGUAACACGUGGGUAACCUGCCUCAUAGAGGGGAAUAGCCUUUCGAAAGGAAGAUUAAUACCGCAUAAGAUUGUAGUAUCGCAUGAUACAGCAAUUAAAGGAGUAAUCCGCUAUGAGAUGGACCCGCGUCACAUUGGCUAGUUGGUGAGGUAACGGCUCACCAAGGCGACGAUGCGUAGCCGACCUGAGAGGGUGAUCGGCCACAUUGGGACUGAGACACGGCCCAGACUCCUACGGGAGGCAGCAGUGGGGAAUAUUGCACAGUGGGGGAAACCCUGAUGCAGCAACGCCGCGUGAGUGAUGACGGUCUUCGGAUUGUAAAACUCUGUCUUCAGGGACGAUAAUGACGGUACCUGAGGAGGAAGCCACGGCUAACUACGUGCCAGCAGCCGCGGUAA
RNAcentral lists this ribosomal RNA (478 nucleotides) under uncultured bacterium. Its description in RNAcentral is "partial 16S ribosomal RNA". It matches the Rfam family "Bacterial small subunit ribosomal RNA", at positions 28 to 523 of the family's 1533-position model. The record is from RNAcentral.